This 454-nucleotide ribosomal RNA is filed under the name Pseudomonas sp. BR-Subra-64. RNAcentral describes it as "bacterial SSU rRNA". It matches the Rfam family "Bacterial small subunit ribosomal RNA", at positions 12 to 478 of the family's 1533-position model. The record is from RNAcentral. Lineage: Bacteria; Pseudomonadati; Pseudomonadota; Gammaproteobacteria; Pseudomonadales; Pseudomonadaceae.
UUUGACAUGGCUCAGAUUGAACGCUGGCGGCAGGCCUAACACAUGCAAGUCGAGCGGUAGAGAGAAGCUUGCUUCUCUUGAGAGCGGCGGACGGGUGAGUAAUGCCUAGGAAUCUGCCUGGUAGUGGGGGAUAACGUUCGGAAACGGACGCUAAUACCGCAUACGUCUACGGGAGAAAGCAGGGGACCUUCGGGCCUUGCGCUAUCAGAUGAGCUAGGUCGGAUUAGCUAGUUGGUGAGGUAAUGGCUCACCAAGGCGACGAUCCGUAACUGGUCUGAGAGGAUGAUCAGUCACACUGGAACUGAGACACGGUCCAGACUCUUACGGGAGCAUCAGUGGGGAAUUUACAAUGGGCGAAAUCCUGAUCCACCAUGCCGCGUGUGUGAAGAAGGUUUCGGAUUGUAAACAUUAAUUGGGAGGAAGGGCCAUUACUAAUACGUGAUGUUGAGUCCAC